This 407-nucleotide ribosomal RNA is filed under the name uncultured bacterium. Its description in RNAcentral is "partial 16S ribosomal RNA". It matches the Rfam family "Bacterial small subunit ribosomal RNA", at positions 30 to 526 of the family's 1533-position model. The record is from RNAcentral.
AUUGAACGCUGGCGGCAGGCCUAACACAUGCAAGUCGAGCGGAGCGGCGGACGGGUGAGUAAUGCCUAGGAAUCUGACUGGUAGUGGGGGAUAACGUCCGGAAACGGGCGCUAAUACCACAUACUAUCAGAUGAGACUAGGUCGGAUUAGCUAGUUGGUGGGGGAAAGGCCUACCAAGGCGACGAUCCGUAACUGGUCUGAGAGGAUGAUCAGUCACACUGGAACUGAGACACGGUCCAGAAUCCGACGGUAGGCAGCAGUGGGGAAUAUUGGACAAUGGGCGAAAGCCUGACCCAGCCAUGCCGCGUGUGUGAAGAAGGUCUUCGGAUUGUAAAGCACUUUAAGUUGGGAGGCGUUACCAAAAGAAUAAGCACCGGCUAACUUCGUGCCAGCAGCCGCGGUAAUAC